GAAAGACUUUAAAUUAUCAAUACCAAAUUGCAAUAUUCCAAAAUUUACCAAAGAAGAAACCCACCCCACCAUUAUAAGUUCGUUGACCUCUCUCUCUCCCUGAACCCGGGAACCAUUUAGCUUCUCCCUUGUAAAAUGGCCGUGGACUGGACUCAACUCCCACCUGAAUUAAUCGAAAAUAUCUCGAAAAAAAUCACAAUCUACUCCGAUUAUCUCCAUUUCCAAGCAGUCUGCCACGCAUGGAAAUCUUCGAUCCCCAAGACACCCAACCACCUCCCUCCACAACUCCCAUGGCUCCUGCUUCCUCAAUCCCAAUCAAACCAAUCUUCUUACCGUGCUUUCUUCAAUCUCUCCACCAACAAAUUCCACUCCCUUAACCUCCCAGAAGCCUCUCAUCGUAAGAAACACUGUGGUUCUUCUCAUGGCUGGCUCAUAAUCCUAGACGAUUCUCCUUCAAUUCUUGUCAUAAAUCCCUUAACACGAAGGAAAAUUCAUUUGCCUGCGAUAUCUAGUUUUCCUAAUGUUGUUAGCUUCGAUUACGCCAAUGUGGGGCGAGAGUAUUUGCUUGUUAAUCCGCAGGGAGAGCGUAAUACAGCGAGCUUGAGGCAAAUGAGAGAUGGGUUUAUAAAGAAAGUUGUUUUUUCUUCUGGCCCUUUGGAAAAGAAGGGAGAUUUCUUCGUGGCGAUGGCGAUUCUUUGUUCAACAGGUGAUUUGGCUUACUGUAAAAAUGGAGAUGAAUGUUGGCAUAUAGUGGAGAAUUCGCGUUCUUUUAGUGAAGAUGUUAUUUAUUUUAAUGGGUUAUUUUAUGCUGUCAAUAAGGCUGGCGAAAUUGUUGUGUGUGAUGUUAAUGGCAAUUCACCUAAGGUUUCGUUUAUCGAAACCCCACGGCAAAUUGGUGGUGAUAUGCAGUAUUUGGUUAGUUCGGGAGAUGGGUUGUUAUUAGUUACAAGGUAUUUGGAUCUUGAUGUUGAGUUUGAUAUUUUUAUCUAUAAAACAGCGAGGUUUGAAGUUUUUAAGCUAGACUUGAAUGGACCAAGGUGGGAAAGGGUGACAAGUAUGGGUGAUAUGAUGUUGUUCAUUGGAGAGAAUUCUUCGCUGGCGUUAUCUGCUUCGGGUUUGUCAGGAUGUAUGGGUGACUGUAUUUAUUACACUGAUGAUUACUCUGCAAAUAAUUAUGAUGGUCAUAUUGGAGAACAUGAUUUGGGCAUUUUCAAAUUAUCGGAUGGAAGCAUUGAACCAUUGCCCUGUUAUCCGCGGAAUUCUUAUUCGCGGUUGCAAUGGCCUCCACCACUUUGGAUUUCGCCCAAUCCAUGCUAAUUCUGGAUGCAUGAUUGCCAGAAUUUGUGGAAAUCAGUCCGAUUCUGCAGUUUUUGGAUCAUGGUAUGUUGCUGGAUAGAUGAUAUGUGCCUGGCAGCUGGAUGUGCUAGAGAGUUUGACACCUUACAGUUGCAAACUUAGCAACACAAAACAGCCAAUCUAAAAUUCUUGCAAAUUGGAUCAGGGUCCUGUUACUACCAAAGUUCUUUGGCAGAAGAAGUAAGCUUUCUACGAUCGUCUGAAUGUCUAAAGGUAUUAAGUGUGGGAAGAAAUAAGAUCUUUUAUUCACUCACUUGACGCAAGUGGUGAAUGUGGGAAGGUGGGCCGUGGCAUACCUUUUCUUGCCCACAAGUGAUUUGUUGUUUAUACCCAUUAUAUGUUUUAGCUUAAAUGGUUGCUCAACAUGCUAGCGGAGGCCUUGAUUGUCCUUAAUUGUCGUAUAGUUUCUUUAGCUAUGUAGCUUUUCCUGGGAAAAGAUGCUGAGUUUCUUUUCAUUGGAAUAAGGUGUGUUUUUGUGCAUGUAUGCCUGGAGGUCACAUUGUGGAUCAAACUCAGUUUCUUGAUUUGCGUUCUAUUACCGUACGGAAGAGUUAAGUCUUAUUCCUGAUGAGUGCCUGAAAUCUUCUUCUUCCCUGUAAUAUAUAGAAAUAUCUAACCCAAACCUAGCCUAUUACCUCUUAUUCUAACUCGUCUUUCUUCCUUGCCAUCUGUUUGGUUGCUGGGAGAAGAGAAAGAGGUAUGGGGCGGGGGGCCUAGAUUUUAGGUUUCAUAUCUUUUAUUCUGCCUUUCUCAUCUCAACUAAGCUAAUAGAUUAU
This is an RNA transcript of Populus euphratica (Euphrates poplar), 2132 nucleotides long. It is a transcript of the gene named F-box protein SKIP23-like, with no coding region annotated. Lineage: Eukaryota; Viridiplantae; Streptophyta; Magnoliopsida; Malpighiales; Salicaceae. The transcript is spliced from 3 exons. The record is from RefSeq and is a predicted model, not a curated record.